GGACAGCAGCGGCGCGGUGGGCGGGACGGCGCUCGGCUGUCCCAGCGCUGCGGCUCCCCGGUACCGUGGAGAUCUGCGCCUUUGCUGGUCUCAGGACGCCCCUGCGAGCCGCACGCCGAGGGCCUGCCGGGCUGCCCCUUUUGCACCCCCGGCCUGGUGGGUGGAAGUGGGGUCUACGGGCGGGCAGGCUCCAGGUGGGGGCGUGGAGACCGAGGGUCGAACCGGCUGCAAGAGUGGGAGCUCCAGGGUCGUGGAUAUGGACCUUUUGCAGUUCCUAGUCUACCUGUUUGUCCUGCUAGUGUCUGGGACAGGAGUCACAGACACUCAGAGGACCUCCGUGGACCCGAGCCUGGAGAUCUACAAGAAGAUGUUUGAGGUGAAGCGACGGGAGCAGCUGUUGGCAUUGAAAAACCUGGUGCAGCUGAAUGAUGUCCACCAGCAGUACAAGAUCCUUGAUGUCAUGCUCAAGGGGCUCUUUAAGGUGCUGGAGGACUCCCGGACAGUGCUCCUUGCUGCGGACGUGCUCCCAGAUGGGCCCUUCCCCCAGGAUGAGAAACUGAAGGAUGCUUUCUCCCAAGUGUUGGAGAACACGGCCUUCUUCGGCGAUGUGGUGCUGCGCUUCCCGAGGAUCGUGCACCACUACUUUGACCACAACUCCAACUGGAAUCUCCUCAUCCGCUGGGGCAUCAGCUUCUGCAACCAGUCGGGCGUCUUUGACCAGGGGCCCCACUCACCCAUCCUCAGCCUGAUGGCCCAGGAGCUGGGGAUCAGCGAGAAAGACUCUGACUUCCAGAAUCCAUUUAAAGUAGACCACACAGAGGGUCUGUCAGUUUGACCUCUGAUCCACCUGCUUCCUGUGCACUCCCUUGCCGAGACAGGAUGCCUGCUGUCUCUUAUUCUCGCUGGCUGCUCUCCCCUCCUCCUCAGGGUUCAUUUCUAGCACCGACCCUUUCCAGAAGGCCCUGAGAGAAGAGGAGAAACGUCGGAAAAAAGAGGAGAAGCGGAAAGAGAUCCGAAAAGGCCCGCGGAUUUCGCGAUCCCAGUCCGAGUUAUAGCCCCGUUGCAGCCCAUGGUUCAAGGGGCCAGGAGGAAGAAGAGGAGGCAGUGUGGCCAACGUGAAGCGGUGCCAUCUGGUUGGUGGUGAGAGUCGGCACCUGUGAGAGGGGAGGCCAUGUUUGCUUCGCCCCCGGAAGCCGGCUUUGAGCCCAGCUGCAGGGACUGGGCCGCGGAGGGCUUGGGUUUCCUCCCGGGACCUCCCUGGAGGGAGCGUUGAGGGGACCCUGUGCUGCAAACACAACUCUGGAGGUGCUGGGGGAGGUAGGACGGGUGCAGGACUGGACCCUCCCAGUGGUUAGUACUGAUGCUCGGCUGGCUGCUGCUCUCCAUGGGGAGGCAGCAGAACCGGGGUCUGAGCCACGUGUGGAGGUGCCACGCCUGCUGCUGGCUGCACUGUGUCACUGAGCCACAGGGCACAAGGUCCAGCCCCCUUCGGAGACACAAUAAAAGUCGGCAAACCCUCUGGGCAAAUCACAGCUGAUUUUGGCCCUAGGAAGCUGUGAGGCCUUUUCCAGGCAGGUGGCGCGGGGCCUGGGUUGGGGAACCAGAGGUCCUGUGCCGUGUAGAGAGCACCUCAGAGGAUGUUCCGCUUCAUCAGGGAGCCCCAGGCUCUGGCGGGGCACAAAGUAGGGCUUGGCUUAGGCCUCCGAAUCCCUUCUCUGCCCUGUCCUUGACGAAGGGUCAGUGUUGGAAAGGGACUGGAAGUGUCCUGGGUGGGUGUUUAUCCAAGGUGACCUUGGAGUAACAUGAUCUCUAUCCUCAGCUAACUGGGGACAGCCAUAGAGCAAGCACAGGAAAGAGUCAGCUGUCCUUUCUGGCAAUGCGGCGAGACCCUCAGCCUGUGGGCUGCAGCUCUGCAAAAGACUGCAUUGUAAUGGCAGGGCUGUCCCAAGCUGGAUGAGUCAGGCAGCGAGCUCUCUGGCUCAGGAGGUGUGCGAGCGGAGACCCGUGGUCACCACCAGGCAGGGAAGCUGCAGGGGCCUGAGCGAGCAGCUGCCCUUCAGUUGUGCUCUGCCCAGGCAGAUAGGGAGGAGCUCUGGUGGGAUUUCCAGCUCUGUCUCUUCGACCUUGCAAAGCCAGGGUCUGCUUCUUAAAAGGAGAGAGACAUAACCACCCCAGAACAUACCACCACCACCACCAACAGAGCCCAGGGGAGACCUGAGUCUUGUCUCAGCCCAUCAGGCUUGCUGAGUGACCCUGGUCCACCCGUUCUCUGUUCUGUAGCUUCACUGGCAAAGUGAAUAUGAUAACAUCUGAACUGCUUCUCCAAGGCUGGGACCUGGCUUCUCAAUUGCGGGUGUCCUUCUCUGAUGGUUCUUCAUUCGUCCCAUAGAUUUGCUGAGCACCCACUGUAAGCCCAGCCAAAGAGAGGGGUCCAGUCUUACCUAUCCUCCCUCUGCCCCAUCUGGUACCUUCAUCCUCCUGGGCUCUUCCUUCUACAUCUUCGGCCUCUCUCCAUCUUCAAAUGGUUCCAAGUUUUCCCAUCUGACACCUUCAGAGAAACACACAGAACUGCCCUGCUUUCCCCCCUCCUUCCCUUUGCUGCACUGUGGAUUGUGUGGUCACUUGUUCCUGGAACUCCACCUUGAGUCAUACUGUAGGCAGAGCCUGUCUGCUCCCCUGCUGGAGCUGCAGAGGCCCUAGGGUACUCGUUUGUCCAGCCUUCUUGUAGCUAGCAUUCAGUUAGUGACUGAUGUGCCACUAACCAGAUGCACCGUGUGAGUGUGGUGGUGGAAACAGUGGCCCACAGGGUCAGGGGGAUUCCUAGUGGCCAGACCAGCUCCCAGGGUGCCUGCUGGUGGCAACAGUGAUGUCUUCAUUGGUGCGUUCAGCAUGGUCUUGGACGUCGUUCCUGUCUGUUGAGCUUCCAGACACGAUCUGUGACACCCGUGGAAAAUCUGGGUGCUCCCAGUAUCCCCUAAGACAGGGCUCCUCAGCAGUGGCACUGUUCACAUUUGGGACCAGAUAAUUGUUUGUUGUGCAGAGGUCUGUGUAUGUGAGAUAUUUAGCAGCAUUCUUGGCCUCUACUUACUAGAUGUCUGUAGUCAUCUCCCAGUUAUGACAACCAAAAAUGUCCCCAGACAUUGCUGGAUGUCCCCUGGGGGCAAAACCUCCCUGGCCACAUCCCUUCCUCCUCCUUAUCUCAGCCCCACAUCUUCCUGUGCUGUCCCAUCACUGCCUGGAAAUGCUGUUGGUAGUUCCUGAGGACCCUCCCAGGCCUCGGGGCCACUGUGUUGUCCUUGUUUUCUGCCUUUGGUCUGCAUCUGCUUUGUCUCUUCCCGACUUCUCUUUCCUCACCUGCGCCCUGAAUAAAGAGUUUACUGGCUUAGUCUCUCCUUCCUUCUUCUUGACAGCUGCAUCCUCUAAGACAGGGAUAGGGAACCUUUUUUCUGCCAAGGGAUAUUUAUAACAUCAUUCUCCAGCCACAUAAAAUUAUCAACUUAAAAAUUAGCCUGCUGCCCUAGCCGGGUGUACUCAGUGGUUAGAGCAUCGGCCCUCAGACUGAAGGAUCCUGGGCACAUACCUCAAGUUUCUCGCUCGAUCCCUGGCCCUGCUUGGGAUGCGUGGGAGGCAACCAGUCAAUGUGCCUCUCACAUCGAUGUUUCUCUGUCGCUCCCCUUCCCUUCCACUCCCUCUAAAAAUCAAUGGAGAAAAUAUCCUCGGGUGAGAAUUAACAACAACAAAAAAUUAGCCAGGUAUAUUUGGUCAAACAUUUAAUUAACUCACCCCCAGUGCCUUGGCAGGGCCAGACCAAAUGAUUACUAGUAGACCCGCAAGCUGGCUGUUCCACACUCCUGCUCUAAGACCACAAAGCUGGUGGCACUUGCCCUGUUGUCACCUGAUAAGCCUCAAUCCUUAUGUUUCAAUUUACCCAAAACCAAAUGUUAUUUUCCACCCUGAAGCCUACCUCUGUGUUAAACCAUGAGAUACGCGCUUUUGCUUAAUCCUGGAGGAAACGAUACAUGAACUGAAUUCUAAAAGAUGGGGGGAGGAGGGAGAAGGAGACAGACACUGACAGAGGCCUACAAGGGGAGGCAUCAGAAGCAGUAAAUGAUAAAACAUGCCAAGUUCUCUUCUAUGACCUGUCUGUGGUGGGUGUCUGGACAUAAUGAUCAUCUGGUCCAACCCCUCCCUUUCCACAUGAAGAAUGCAGGCCCUGAGGAGUGACUUGUCUGAGGCUGCUCUACCCCUGGAGCCAGCCUCAGUUCUCCCCGCCAAGGCAGGGUGCCAGCGGGAAGAGCUGUUAGGUUAGGUGAGAAGCCAGGGUCGGAGGGAGAAUGUCAGUGUUCUUUGCUAAGGCUGGGUCCAGUGCCACCACCUUUCUUCUACAGUUUUUACUGAGCCUUCACUUGUGCUCCCUCAGGCUACUUUGCUAGGAACCAGGGCCUCUGGGCAGGUUGUGUCCACCUACUUAACCUGAUGCUCCUACAGCAAGCAUGUCAAACUCAUGGCUCACCGGCCGCAAGUCUGACAUGCUGUUCUACAGCCUCCUGUGGGGGUUUCUGAGGGAAUGAGAGGGCACUGGACCAAAUUGAGUCAUAGGGUAGGCCAGCAGAUGGUUUCCCUCCCUCUCACACCCCCCUCCCCCCCACAGUAGGGGGAGCCCUGUGAGAGCCACUAAGAGGUGCAAUUGAAGGUCACAUUGUCCAGCUCAGUGCCUGGUCCAGAGCUGGGCAGCAGGGUUUGGUUUCCUGUUUCAGAGGGAGACCGGAGACCGGUAUAAUCAAUACCAACUCUAGUCUGUAAACAAUGAGAACAUUCCUGUCUUUUUCCCCCCAAAAAACAAGACUAUUUAUGUUACACAAUUCAUUAUAAAAAAGCAUACUGAAAUAUCAAGAAGACAGUAAAAUUUACCCUAAACCCACCAUUCCCAUAACCAUGACUGACAGUCAGCUGUUGGGCCUUGCAUCCAUUUGCCCUUCAUGUGAGCGCGUAGAUCCCUGUUCUUUUCAAUUACAGUAGCUCCUUUGUGUGGGCACUUACUACAUGCCAGGCUAUGCCACGUGCUGGCUGGUAGCCGCUUCUGCUGCCUCGGGGUCCCUGUCCAUGUUGUCUGUUGCUCCAGCUACACCAACACCAUCUGCAGGUCUCUCCUCAUUGUGUUAAGUUUUGUCGUAAAUAUGGGCGGCUUUCCUGACAUCCCAGGGCAGAUCCCUUGUUAGUUUCAUCACACCCUGUUACUUUUCUUUGAUCGCUUGUGCUAUGUAUUGUCUGGGGUUUUUUUUUGUUUAACAGUUGUUCGCUAGACUGGCAGCUCUCAGAAGACAGGAACUAUUUCUGUUUGCCUGCCACAGAGGUGUUCAAUAAAUAUUAUCAAAGACUGCA
Molecule: RNA transcript, 5382 nt
Organism: Myotis myotis
Lineage: Eukaryota; Metazoa; Chordata; Mammalia; Chiroptera; Vespertilionidae
Gene: CCDC134
Gene name: coiled-coil domain containing 134
Exons: 8
Source: RefSeq, a predicted model, not a curated record